Polypterus senegalus (gray bichir) is the source of this 1376-nucleotide long non-coding RNA. RefSeq lists it as uncharacterized. The transcript has 3 exons. The record is from RefSeq and is a predicted model, not a curated record. Lineage: Eukaryota; Metazoa; Chordata; Cladistia; Polypteriformes; Polypteridae.
CUGGCAAUUCUACUCAUUUUGUUGUGUUUAAAAUAUAUGAAAAGAAGACGCAAGUGUCAGAACACCACUGAAAUGCAUUGCAAGAAAAAUGGUAUAUCAUCAGAUGAGGAAUCUAACAAGUUUAACACUGAGAAUCUGUGAUUCUUCUAGAAAGUCCAAGAUGGUUUUUGUGAAAGAGUGAAAGCUUCUUCUUAGAGUGUGAACAUCUUUUCCCUCUUGUAUGUCCUGCUCACCCCAAUUCUGUGGCCAUCAGUUCAUGUUGCCUUUUUUAGUGCCUUGAACAUUACAUCUAGAAAUGCCUUAGUCAUAUGAAAGGUAAUAAGCGGAGCUAAUUUCCUAUCCGUAGAAUAUGCCCUUAUCCUUACCUUUGCCAAAAUGUCACCUGUAGCCACAAUGGAGCAUGCUCAAAGAAUGUUUGAAUGUAACUUGUUUGUGUGAUCUUGGGUUUAUUAUACUCAUCCCAUUGUUCCAUGUUCUUAAUGACAGUUGCACUUAUGUAAUAAUGCUUAUGAUGUUUGAUUGAAUUUCUCUGCCUUUUUUCCCCAUUACAGUCAGUUUAUAGGUGUGUUUUCUUAUUCAGAAUUAUUAUGGACCUGUACAUCAUAGUAAAUAUAUUUAUUUUCUGUAUUAUCAGAUUAUUUUUAAGACAUGUUAUAUUUAAAUGGUAGAAUCUUAAGUGAUUCUGUAGUCCAUGUCUGUUUAUGUUUAGAUGGGGCUGAAAACGAUUAAGUGAAAAAUCAUAAACGAAAGGCAUUAACUUUAGGUAUAAGCACAAAAAGUUUCACCUUGUUACCUUCAACAUAGUUGACAAUUGAUAAAGCUGAAACAAAAUUAUCUUAAAAAGUAUACAACACCAGUAGUCUAACAUUUGCUGACACAAAAUUAUUAGCUUGUGUGCAAAUGUUUUUCUAAGUAACAUUUUAUUAUUGAAAUCUUUAUGAUUAAUUUGAAAGCAUUUUGAGUGAACAUACCCAGUGAUGUUGCCUCUAAAGUUGCACUGAUGUCUAGGUAGAGAAAUAAUUUACUAAACUGUUAAUAAUGCUGAGUGUGGGAAACCAUAUCUAGCAAAUUUAAAGUGUGCCUAUUUUACUCCUACUGGUUAUGUAGAUUUUUAAGAUGUAUCAUUUUGCUAACCAAUGUUUAAUUUAGUAUUUUGCUGCUAGUAAUUUCUUGCCAGUCCUUCCCAGGUGUGUGUGUGUGUGGGUUUUCUUCCCAUAUCACCAAAGAUGCGCACAUUGCAUUCAUUGGCAAUUCCAACUGGCCCCAUGUGAGUGUGAAAAAUCAAUAAUCUUUUUCUGUAAUGAAUUAGAACAUUUUUUUAUUCUCAUGUUUUUAUGAAGAAAAAGAUAAAGUUCCUACCGCAGUAGACUUCAAAG